RNAcentral lists this non-coding RNA (24 nucleotides) under Cricetulus griseus (Chinese hamster). Lineage: Eukaryota; Metazoa; Chordata; Mammalia; Rodentia; Cricetidae. The record is from RNAcentral.
UGGAAAAUGGGAACAGGCAAUUAA